AGUGAACGCUGGCGGUAGGCCUAACACAUGCAAGUCGAACGGCAGCACAGGAGAGCUUGCUCUCUGGGUGGCGAGUGGCGGACGGGUGAGGAAUACAUCGGAAUCUACCUUUUCGUGGGGGAUAACGUAGGGAAACUUACGCUAAUACCGCAUACGACCUUCGGGUGAAAGCAGGGGACCUUCGGGCCUUGCGCGGAUAGAUGAGCCGAUGUCGGAUUAGCUAGUUGGCGGGGUAAAGGCCCACCAAGGCGACGAUCCGUAGCUGGUCUGAGAGGAUGAUCAGCCACACUGGAACUGGGACACGGUCCAGACUCCUACGGGAGGCAGCAGUGGGGAAUAUUGGACAAUGGGCGCAAGCCUGAUCCAGCCAUACCGCGUGGGUGAAGAAGGCCUUCGGGUUGUAAAGCCCUUUUGUUGGGAAAGAAAAGCAGCCAGUUAAUACCUGGUUGUUCUGACGGUACCCAAAGAAUAAGCACCGGCUAACUUCGUGCCAGCCGCCGCCGUAA
RNAcentral lists this ribosomal RNA (506 nucleotides) under uncultured bacterium. RNAcentral's name for it is "partial 16S ribosomal RNA". It matches the Rfam family "Bacterial small subunit ribosomal RNA", at positions 29 to 523 of the family's 1533-position model. The record is from RNAcentral.